RNAcentral lists this ribosomal RNA (502 nucleotides) under uncultured bacterium. Its description in RNAcentral is "partial 16S ribosomal RNA". It matches the Rfam family "Bacterial small subunit ribosomal RNA", at positions 30 to 523 of the family's 1533-position model. The record is from RNAcentral.
AUUGAACGCUGGCGGCGUGCCUAACACAUGCAAGUCGAGCGGUAACAGGUGUAGCAAUACAUGCUGACGAGCGGCGAACGGGUGAGUAAUGCUUCGGAAUCUACCUUAUGGUGGGGAAUAACUAGCCGAAAGGUUAGCCAAUACCGCAUACGUCCUACGGGAGAAAGCAGGGGAUCGCAAGACCUUGCGCCAAAAGAUGAGCCGAAGUAGGAUUAGCUAGUUGGUAGGGUAACGGCCUACCAAGGCGACGAUCCGUAGCUGGUCCGAGAGGACGACCAGCCACACUGGGACUGAGACACGGCCCAGACUCCUACGGGAGGCAGCAGUGGGGAAUAUUGGACAAUGGGGGAAACCCUGAUCCAGCGACGCCGCGUGUGUGAAGAAGGCCUGCGGGUUGUAAAGCACUUUUAGUGGGGAUGAAAUGUGCAGGGUUAAUACCUCUGCAUUUUGACCUAACCCACAGAAAAAGCACCGGCUAACUCUGUGCCAGCCGCCGCAGUAA